This 586-nucleotide ribosomal RNA is filed under the name uncultured bacterium. Its description in RNAcentral is "partial 16S ribosomal RNA". It matches the Rfam family "Bacterial small subunit ribosomal RNA", at positions 355 to 1375 of the family's 1533-position model. The record is from RNAcentral.
UGGGGAAUUUUGGACAAUGGGCGAAAGCCUGAUCCAGCAAUGCCGCGUGUGUGAAGAAGGCCUUCGGGUUGUAAAGCACUUUUGUCCGGAAAGAAAUCCUUGGCUCUAAUACAGUCGGGGGAUGACGGUACCGGAAGAAUAAGCACCGGCUAACUACGUGCCAGCAGCCGCGGUAAUACGUAGGGUGCAAGCGUUAAUCGGAAUUACUGGGCGUAAAGCGUGCGCAGGCGGUUUGCUAAGACCGAUGUGAAAUCCCCGGGCUCAACCUGGGAACUGCAUUGGUGACUGGCAGGCUAGAGUAUGGCAGAGGGGGGUAGAAUUCCACGUGUAGCAGUGAAAUGCGUAGAGAUGUGGAGGAAUACCGAUGGCGAAGGCAGCCCCCUGGGCCAAUACUGACGCUCAUGCACGAAAGCGUGGGGAGCAAACAGGAUUAGAUACCCUGGUAGUCCACGCCCUAAAACGAUGUCAACUAGUUGUUGGGGAUUCAUUUCCUUAGUAACGUAGCUAACGCGUGAAGUUGACCGCCUGGGGAGUACGGUCGCAAGAUUAAAACUCAAAAGAAUUGACGGGGUCAUAGCUGUUUCCU